ACUAUUUUGACAGAAAAAUGUGGUGGGUUUAGAAGUCAUUUAUAUAUAAUUAAUUUAUAUAGAUAGUA
Molecule: transfer RNA, 68 nt
Filed under: Himantopterus dohertyi
Lineage: Eukaryota; Metazoa; Arthropoda; Insecta; Lepidoptera; Himantopteridae
Description: transfer RNA-Leu (CUN)
Source: RNAcentral